This 263-nucleotide ribosomal RNA is filed under the name uncultured bacterium. RNAcentral's name for it is "partial 16S ribosomal RNA". It matches the Rfam family "Bacterial small subunit ribosomal RNA", at positions 8 to 263 of the family's 1533-position model. The record is from RNAcentral.
AGAGUUUGAUCAUGCCUCAGGACGAACGCUGGCGGCGUGCCUAACACAUGCAAGUCGAGCGGAGACAGUGAGUAGCUUGCUAUGAGCUGUUUUAGCGGCGGACGGGUGAGUAACGCGUGAGCAACCUUUCCCAGACAGGGGAAUAACACACCGAAAGGUGUACUAAUACCGCAUAAGACCACGGAAUCACAUGGUUCUGAGGUAAAAGGUUUAUCGGUUUGGGGUGGGCUCGCGUCCGAUUAGGUAGUUGGUGAGGUAACCGG